UACAGAGGGUGCAAGCGUUGUUCGGAAUUAUUGGGCGUAAAGCGCACGUAGGCGGUUUGUUAAGUCGGAUGUGAAAUCCCUCGGCUCAACUGAGGAAGUGCAUCCGAAACUGGCAAGCUUGAGUACGAAAGAGGGUCGCGGAAUUCCCGGUGUAGAGGUGAAAUUCGUAGAUAUCGGGAGGAACACCGGUGGCGAAGGCGGCGACCUGGGUCGAUACUGACGCUGAGGUGCGAAAGCGUGGGGAGCAAACAGG
This 253-nucleotide ribosomal RNA is filed under the name uncultured bacterium. RNAcentral's name for it is "partial 16S ribosomal RNA". It matches the Rfam family "Bacterial small subunit ribosomal RNA", at positions 524 to 776 of the family's 1533-position model. The record is from RNAcentral.